Molecule: ribosomal RNA, 809 nt
Filed under: uncultured archaeon
Lineage: Archaea
Description: bacterial SSU rRNA
Rfam family: Archaeal small subunit ribosomal RNA
Source: RNAcentral
ACGGCUCAGUAACACGUGGCUAAUCUGCCCUUGGGACGAGAACAACCCCGGGAAACUGGGGCUAACUCUCGAUAGGCGAAGAACUCUGGAAUGAGUCUUUACCUAAAUAGUGCAACGUUAUCCUCGUUGCAUCGCCCAAGGAUGAGGCCGCGACCGAUCAGGUUGUUGGCGAGGUAAUGGCUCACCAAGCCUUUUACCGGUGCGGGCCGUGGGAGCGGGAGCCCGGAGAUGGGCACUGAGACAAGGGCCCAGGCCCUACGGGGCGCAGCAGUCGCGAAAACUUUGCAAUAAGCGAAAGCUUGACAGGGCUAUCCCGAGUGCCAUCCGCUGAGGAAGGCUUUUACCCAGUCUAGAACGCUGGGGGAAUAAGGAGAGGGCAAGUCUGGUGUCAGCCGCCGCGGUAAUACCAGCUCUCCGAGUGGUGUGGAUGUUUAUUGGGCCUAAAGCAUCCGUAGCUGGCUAAGUUAGUCCCUUGUUAAAUCCACCGAAUUAAUCGUUGGAUUGCGGGGGAUACUGCUUGGCUAGGGGACGAGAGAGGCAGACGGUAUUUUCGGGGUAGGGGUGAAAUCCUAUAAUCCCGGGAAGACCACCAGUGGCGAAGGCUGUCUGCUAGAACGCGCCCGACGGUGAGGGAUGAAAGCUGGGGGAGCGAACCGGAUUAGAUACCCGGGUAGUCCCAGCUGUAAACGAUGCAGGCUAGGUGUUUGGACGGCCACGUGCCGUUCUAGUGCCGCAGGGAAGCUGUUAAGCCUGCCGCCUGGGGAGUACGAUCGCAAGAUUGAAACUUAAAGGAAUUGGCGGGGGAGCAC